AUCUAUAGCCAUACCACCGUAAUCAUGCCUAAUCUCCUCUUAUCUCAGAAGUUAAGCAGGGUCAGGCCUGGUUAUUACUUGGAUUGGGGAGAAUAAAUCCAUGUAGAAA
Molecule: ribosomal RNA, 109 nt
Filed under: Erinaceus europaeus (western European hedgehog)
Lineage: Eukaryota; Metazoa; Chordata; Mammalia; Eulipotyphla; Erinaceidae
Source: RNAcentral